CCACGGGCGGCUGCAGUGGGGAAUAUUGGACAAUGGGCGAAAGCCUGAUCCAGCCAUGCCGCGUGUGUGAAGAAGGCCUUCGGGUUGUAAAGCACUUUCAGUGGGGAAGAAAGCCUUGGGGCUAAUACCCUCGAGGAAGGACAUCACCCACAGAAGAAGCACCGGCUAACUCCGUGCCAGCAGCCGCGGUAAUACGGAGGGUGCGAGCGUUAAUCGGAAUUACUGGGCGUAAAGCGCGCGUAGGCGGUCUGAUAAGCCGGUUGUGAAAGCCCCGGGCUCAACCUGGGAACGACAUCCGGAACUGUAAGGCUAGAGUGCAGGAGAGGAAGGUAGAAUUCCCGGUGUAGCGGUGAAAUGCGUAGAGAUCGGGAGGAAUACCAGUGGCGAAGGCGGCCUUCUGGACUGACACUGACGCUGAGGUGCGAAAGCGUGGGUAGCAAACAGGAUUAGAUACCCCAGUAGUC
This 464-nucleotide ribosomal RNA is filed under the name Vreelandella stevensii. RNAcentral describes it as "partial 16S ribosomal RNA". It matches the Rfam family "Bacterial small subunit ribosomal RNA", at positions 339 to 795 of the family's 1533-position model. Lineage: Bacteria; Pseudomonadati; Pseudomonadota; Gammaproteobacteria; Oceanospirillales; Halomonadaceae. The record is from RNAcentral.